This 411-nucleotide unclassified non-coding RNA is filed under the name Hevea brasiliensis (rubber tree). The record is from RNAcentral. Lineage: Eukaryota; Viridiplantae; Streptophyta; Magnoliopsida; Malpighiales; Euphorbiaceae.
AAGAUUUGGAAGGACAGAAGUAAAGUAACACUACGAUAUAUUUUAUUUAUAAGUAGAUUAUAUUUUUGGAAGAAUACCAUUGAAGCAAAUACAGAAUCCAAUUUCCCAACUAGCGAGUAGUGAUGAUGGAGUACUUGCUGGGUUCUGUACUAAGUCUUCUCUUCACCUUAGCCUUUGUUCAAACUCUGAUUUUUAUUUUAAAGGGAAGCAAAAUAAGAAGUCCGGGCAAACUUCCACCGGGUCCAGCACCUUUACCAAUCUUAGGUAACAUUUUUGAACUUGGUGACCAACCCCACAAGUCCUUGGCAAAGCUUGCCAAGAUUCAUGGCCCUCUGAUGAGUCUACGACUAGGCCGGGUAACUACGGUAGUCAUUUCUUCUGCAACACUAGCCAAGGAAGUCCUCCAAACGC